This 465-nucleotide ribosomal RNA is filed under the name uncultured bacterium. RNAcentral's name for it is "bacterial SSU rRNA". It matches the Rfam family "Bacterial small subunit ribosomal RNA", at positions 338 to 795 of the family's 1533-position model. The record is from RNAcentral.
CCUACGGGUUGCAGCAGUGGGGAAUAUUGCACAAUGGGCGCAAGCCUGAUGCAGCCAUGCCGCGUGUGUGAAGAAGGCCUUCGGGUUGUAAAGCACUUUCAGCGGGGAGGAAGGCGAUAAGAUUAAUAACCUUGUCGAUUGACGUUACCCGCAGAAGAAGCACCGGCUAACUCCGUGCCAGCAGCCGCGGUAAUACGGAGGGUGCAAGCGUUAAUCGGAAUUACUGGGCGUAAAGCGCACGCAGGCGGUUUGUUAAGUCAGAUGUGAAAUCCCCGGGCUCAACCUGGGAACUGCAUCUGAUACUGGCAAGCUUGAGUCUCGUAGAGGGGGGUAGAAUUCCAGGUGUAGCGGUGAAAUGCGUAGAGAUCUGGAGGAAUACCGGUGGCGAAGGCGGCCCCCUGGACGAAGACUGACGCUCAGGUGCGAAAGCGUGGGGAGCAAACAGGAUUAGAUACCCUUGUAGUC